UACGGAGGUGGCAAGCGUUGCUCGGAAUCACUGGGCGUAAAGGGCGCGUAGGCGGGGAGGUAAGUCGGGUGUGAAAUCCCUCGGCCCAACCGAGGAACUGCGCUCGAGACUGCUUCUCUUGAGUCCCGGAGAGGAAGAUGGAAUUCCCGGUGUAGCGGUGAAAUGUGUAGAGAUCGGGAGGAACACCGGUGGCGAAGGCGGUCUUCUGGACGGUGACUGACGCUGAGGCGCGAAAGCGUGGGGAGCAAACGGG
RNAcentral lists this ribosomal RNA (253 nucleotides) under uncultured bacterium. Its description in RNAcentral is "partial 16S ribosomal RNA". It matches the Rfam family "Bacterial small subunit ribosomal RNA", at positions 524 to 776 of the family's 1533-position model. The record is from RNAcentral.